Molecule: ribosomal RNA, 508 nt
Filed under: uncultured bacterium
Lineage: Bacteria
Description: partial 16S ribosomal RNA
Rfam family: Bacterial small subunit ribosomal RNA
Source: RNAcentral
UGGGGAAUUUUGGACAAUGGGCGAAAGCCUGAUCCAGCAAUGCCGCGUGUGUGAAGAAGGCCUUCGGGUUGUAAAGCACUUUUGUCCGGAAAGAAAUCCUUGGCUCUAAUACAGUCGGGGGAUGACGGUACCGGAAGAAUAAGCACCGGCUAACUACGUGCCAGCAGCCGCGGUAAUACGUAGGGUGCAAGCGUUAAUCGGAAUUACUGGGCGUAAAGCGUGCGCAGGCGGUUUGCUAAGACCGAUGUGAAAUCCCCGGGCUCAACCUGGGAACUGCAUUGGUGAUUGGCAGGCUAGAGUAUGGCAGAGGGGGGUAGAAUUCCACGUGUAGCAGUGAAAUGCGUAGAGAUGUGGAGGAAUACCGAUGGCGAAGGCAGCCCCCUGGGCCAAUACUGACGCUCAUGCACGAAAGCGUGGGGAGCAAACAGGAUUAGAUACCCUGGGAUAGUCCACGCCCUAAACGAUGUCAACUAGUUGCUUGGGGAUUCAUUUCCUUAGUAACGUAGCU